This is a long non-coding RNA of Syzygium oleosum, 636 nucleotides long. RefSeq lists it as uncharacterized. NCBI's taxonomy places the organism in Eukaryota, Viridiplantae, Streptophyta, Magnoliopsida, Myrtales, Myrtaceae. The record is from RefSeq and is a predicted model, not a curated record. The transcript is spliced from 3 exons.
AGAGAAGAUCGAGAGCUUACAGGACAAUCGGGAAAGAAAGAGAGGAAAGAAAGAAGAGAAGAAGAAGAAGAAAGAGAUGCGUACUCGCCACGAUUACGAAAUCGUCGGUUCAAGUGAGCGUUGUUAUUUGAUUUUUGGGGAUUCCAGGUUAGUAGCCUAUAGAGUGAGAGCGUUGUCGUGGGGACUUUUGGGUGGUUUGAGGCUGCGUCUUUCGGGUAGGACGGUCGUGUCAUUCCCAUCCUGGUAGAUUUCGGGGUGUGACAUAUAGUAUGUACAAAAAUAGGUGGUAAGAAUGAUUAAUUUUGUAGUCAAAUAUGAUAACAUGUCUUAAUGCAAUUUAGGACAGGAAAUUAAAAAAAAAAAGAAAUUGACUAGAGAGAGGGGCGACGAAUGUGGAUGGCCGGCAGCGAAGCAACAAUGCUGCUAUCGCCCAAAAGCAACCCCAUAUCGCGUUGCCAAGGUGCGAGCACGGUUCGGCUCGCAUGAAAAAUUGAAACCCACUGCAAUAAUAUGAUUUUUCUCACCUACUCGCGUCUCUUUCUUUCAGUUUUCUUCUUCCCCUUUUGGAGUCUUUCCCUCUCUGCCUUUCCUUGUUUUUCCUCACCUACUUAUAUCUCCCCUACUAUAAAAAUAAAA